UACAGGGGUCCCAAGCGUUGUUCGGAUUCAUUGGGCGUAAAGGGUGCGUAGGCGGCGCGGUAAGUCGGGUGUGAAAUCUUGGAGCUUAACUCCGAAACUGCAUUCGAUACUGCCGUGCUUGAGGACUGGAGAGGAGACUGGAAUUUACGGUGUAGCGGUGAAAUGCGUAGAUAUCGUAAGGAAGACCAGUGGCGGAGGCGGGUCUCUGGACAGUUCCUGACGCUGAGGCACGAAGGCCAGGGGAGCAAACGGG
Molecule: ribosomal RNA, 253 nt
Filed under: uncultured bacterium
Lineage: Bacteria
Description: partial 16S ribosomal RNA
Rfam family: Bacterial small subunit ribosomal RNA
Source: RNAcentral